UCGAGAAUCAUUCUUGAUUUUGAGAAUAAAAAAAUAAUUAUAAAACUUGUAUCGAACGUGUUUGCGAAAGAAAAGAUUAUCGUGGAAAAAUUUUUUUCCUCUUUCAUAUUUGAAUAAUUGUUUAGAAAACACAAAUAUUUCAAAAAGUGAGUUUCAUUGUGAUACAAAAAACGCUCUGACAAAGUUUUUGGCGCUUUGACAGUGGCGAUAAAACUACACAAAAAAAGAGAAUAAGAAAAUGGAUGAUGAUGUGUAUAUAAUUAUAUUUUUUCAUUCAUUUUCCAUUCAUUUGUUGGAAAAGUAUGUUUCAGUCAUCAUAAAAUAAUUCUCACGAGACGUGUCUUUAUCUGUAUCGAAUGUGUUAACAAUAGAUUCGAAUAAUCUGAAACGUCGAUUAAUAAUUAAAUAUCGUGGAUAGACAUUGUGAACGAGCUAUAUAUAUAUAGGGAAAGUUUUUGGAAGUUUCGGGCAGAGUUUCGAUACAAGGGCAUUAGCAUUUAAAAUAUAUAGAGAUAUUAGAUGAAACGACUAUGCUUGGUGAGCUCUGACGAGGGCAUUAUUAUGAAAAUGGUCUUUGAAAGUCUUGCGCAAAAAUAGGAGAUGUUUCAAAGUUUCAUGACAUCGUUUCGUCCCUUUGAACACUUUAUUAAUGGGCGAUUUUCUUCUUAUUUUUAGGUUGAUCGUUGACUAGUUGCAAGUAUAAAGGAAAUCAACGUGUUAUAAAAAAAUGAAGAAGAAAAGAUAUAUAAAUAAAUAUAUAUAUAUAUAAAACGAAGCAAGUUUGAAGAGUUAAGCCUAACCUAAUAGAAUUGACUCUAAAAAUAGAAUCAACACACAAAGAGACAAUAGAUAGCUCGGGCACAAGAAAGGAAAAGAAUAUAAGUGGCUAAGUAAAAUGAAAUAAAGAAUGAAAUUUCGGUCCAAGUUGAAAAACGUAUCAUUGAAAAUACUCCCUUAACCGUGAUUUAAGAUAAAAAUUCUCUCAUUUCAGAAAUAACUCAACGAUAGAAAUUUAAAGAGAUUACAUUUAAGUAAUUUCAACGAAGAACGUUUAAUCAUUCGACCUCUAUCAAGGCUUAUACACGAGCUUGGAAUUAUCCAUUUCAUGGAUAUAUGUAUAUCUCUAAGCAAAUCUCAAUCCCGCACCGAAUGGACAACACCGACUUGAUGGAUUACCGCGGCCAAAUCUUCAAAUCCUCAAACUCAUUUCGCUAAUCGCCACCGCCAACACUGCCAUCUCCCAUUUUAAUCCGCAUUGUCCAGAAGACAUUGUCGUUGUCACGACGAUAGGAAGGAUGGAAUCGCGAAAAGAGGUGCGCUUUCUGUGUACCCGAACAGAGGACUUAGCGUCUAAAAACAACGAGCGACGCCGUUGUCAGUCUGCCAAAAUUCCAUCGCGACCGAACAGUUGCCAGUACCGUACCAUCUUCAAUUCGGAAAAAACGUGACUGAAGUUUAGUAUCCGGGUUGCAAAAUUUUUUUCUUCUUUUUUUCCAAACCUCCCCGUUUAUUCUCGAAUCUGAAAACGAAAAUGAUAAUAAGGUUAUUUCAAUGAGAUAACUUUGGACGAUGGAACGACACGUGUACAAUUGAUAUUUUUCCUUUGAUAGAAUUUAAUUAUUCGAUAUUAAUUAAUGUAGCGAUGUACGUAUGAAAAAGUAUAAGAUGAAUGAAAAAUAAGUUUGGAUUACUGUAUAUUUUUCGGCAUUGUAUGAAAUUAGAGUUAACAAGAGGGAAUAUAAUAAACAAAUGGAAUUAACCAGUCAAA
Molecule: long non-coding RNA, 1768 nt
Organism: Apis cerana (Asiatic honeybee)
Lineage: Eukaryota; Metazoa; Arthropoda; Insecta; Hymenoptera; Apidae
Source: RefSeq, a predicted model, not a curated record